Molecule: ribosomal RNA, 426 nt
Filed under: uncultured prokaryote
Description: bacterial SSU rRNA
Rfam family: Bacterial small subunit ribosomal RNA
Source: RNAcentral
UGGGGAAUUUUCCGCAAUGAGCGCAAGCUUGACGGAGCAAUACCGCGUGAGGGAAGAAUGCCUGUGGGUUGUAAACCUCUUUUUUCAGGGAAGAAUAUCUGACGGUACCUAAAGAAUAAGCAUCGGCUAACUCCGUGCCAGCAGCCGCGGUAAUACGGGGGAUGCAAGCGUUAUCCGGAAUUACUGGGCGUAAAGCGUCUGUAGGUGGCUUAAAAAGUCUGCUGUUAAAUAUUAGAGCUUAACUCUGAAAAAGCAGUGGAAACUGUCAGGCUAGAGUAUGGUAUGGGCAGAGGGAAUUUCCAGUGUAGCGGUGAAAUGCGUAGAUAUUGGGAAGAACACCAGUGGCGAAAGCGCUCUACUGGACCAUUACUGACACUCAGAGACGAAAGCUAGGGGAGCGAAUGGGAUUAGAUACCCCGGUAGUCC